This 253-nucleotide ribosomal RNA is filed under the name uncultured bacterium. RNAcentral describes it as "partial 16S ribosomal RNA". It matches the Rfam family "Bacterial small subunit ribosomal RNA", at positions 524 to 776 of the family's 1533-position model. The record is from RNAcentral.
UACGUAGGAGGCGAGCGUUGUCCGGAGUUACUGGGCGUAAAGGGUGCGCAGGUGGCCGUGCGCGUGGGGAGUGAAAUCGCCUGGCUUAACUGGGCGGGGGCUUUCCAGACGGCGCGGCUUGAGCCACAGAGGGGGGCGUGGAAUUCCUGGUGUAGCGGUGAAAUGCGCAGAUAUCAGGAGGAACACCGGUGGCGAAGGCGGGUCUCUGGGCCGAUAUUGACGCUGAGGAGCGAAAGCGUGGGGAGCGAACAGG